UAGAUCUAUAUGUCAGGGUGAGAGGUGAUAGUGUGUGUAUAUGUAGAGUAGAUCUAUAUGCCAGGGUGAGAGGUGAUGGUGUGUAUAGAGUACAUCUAUAUGUCAGGGUGAGAGGUGAUGGUGUGUGUAUAGAGUACAUCUAUAUGCCAGGGUGAGAGGUGAUGGUGUGUGUAUAAGAGUACAUCUAUAUGCCAGGGUGAGAGGUGAUGGUGUGUAUAGAGUACAUCUAUAUGUCAGGGUGAGAGAUGAUUGUGUGUAUAUGUAGAGUACAUCUAUAUGUCAGGGUGAGAGGUGAUAGUGUGUGUAUAUGUAGAGUACAUCUAUAUGUCAGGGUGAGAGGUGAUAGUGUGUGUGUGUAUAUGUAGAGUACAUCUAUAUGUCAGGGUGAGAGGUGAUGGUGUGUGUAUAGAGUACAUCUAUAUGUGAUGGCGUGUGUAUAUGUAGAGUACAUCUAUAUGUCAGGGUGAAAGGUGAUGGUGUGUAUAUGUAGAGUAGAUCUAUAUGUCAGGGUGAGAGGUCGCCAGACAGACGCACGGACCGACAAACAGGGCUGACAGACAUCAGCCUCUGAAAGCCCUCGCGGGUCUAGCCUGCGACCCCUCUCAC
Molecule: long non-coding RNA, 606 nt
Organism: Oncorhynchus tshawytscha (Chinook salmon)
Lineage: Eukaryota; Metazoa; Chordata; Actinopteri; Salmoniformes; Salmonidae
Source: Ensembl